GUACAUAGUUUUUUUCAUUAUCAGGGUUAGUUAUUGUUUGAGUGGUUAAUGUUUUUGAUCUUAAUGCCUUCUGUACUUGAACUUGUAUUCUCUUUAUGAAGGACUUCGUGUAUCCAUGUUGGUAUCCUACUUUAUAUAUAUAUAUACGUGUUUUCUUCGUUUAGAUCCUUUGGGUCUGUACAGUAUUUUAUGGCUCUUUCGAAUAAUGAUCUGGGGAUCAUUUCGGUAUCAGCACUUGGUGAUGCGUAGGUUUUUCUAUAUGCUUUUGUUUUUAAGCUGGCUUGUUCUACUUUUAUGUCUAUAUCUAAAUAAUGUCC
Molecule: long non-coding RNA, 317 nt
Filed under: Androctonus crassicauda
Lineage: Eukaryota; Metazoa; Arthropoda; Arachnida; Scorpiones; Buthidae
Source: RNAcentral